GCCGGCCUAGCUCAAUUGGUAGAGCAACUGACUUGUAAUCAGUAGGUUGGGGGUUCAAGUCCUCUGGCCGGC
This 72-nucleotide transfer RNA is filed under the name Staphylococcus aureus. Its description in RNAcentral is "tRNA-Thr". It matches the Rfam family "tRNA". From Rfam's summary of the family: Transfer RNA (tRNA) molecules are approximately 80 nucleotides in length. Their secondary structure includes four short double-helical elements and three loops (D, anti-codon, and T loops). Further hydrogen bonds mediate the characteristic L-shaped molecular structure. tRNAs have two regions of fundamental functional importance: the anti-codon, which is responsible for specific mRNA codon recognition, and the 3' end, to which the tRNAs corresponding amino acid is attached (by aminoacyl-tRNA synthetases). tRNAs cope with the degeneracy of the genetic code in two manners: having more than one tRNA (with a specific anti-codon) for a particular amino acid; and 'wobble' base-pairing, i.e. permitting non-standard base-pairing at the 3rd anti-codon position. The record is from RNAcentral. Lineage: Bacteria; Bacillati; Bacillota; Bacilli; Caryophanales; Staphylococcaceae. RNAcentral also lists the same sequence under 1 other name.